Molecule: long non-coding RNA, 4528 nt
Organism: Sorghum bicolor (sorghum)
Lineage: Eukaryota; Viridiplantae; Streptophyta; Magnoliopsida; Poales; Poaceae
Exons: 10
Source: RefSeq, a predicted model, not a curated record
CUUCGAGAUCCUUUCAAUAAAAAAAAAAACCGGUAAAAAAACGCCUCCAUCUUAUCUCUUCCCCGUGUUCCUCCCCGAGGUCACCGUGAUGCCGCCGCCGCUCGCGCCUCCACUUCCUCUUCUUCUACUCUCUCCUUCCUCUCUCCAUCCCGACGCUCUCUCUCGCUGUCUCUCCCGACGGCCGCAGGGCGAGGGUGCCCACGACGCCGUAUCGGCUAGGGCAGGCCCCUGCGACUGCGCGCGGACCAUGCCCCCGGCACGGCGCCGGCCGGCGAGCGUGCCCCCGUCGCCCGGCAUGGAGGAUGCCGGCGCAGGCCGGUCCAGUCGUGGUGGCUCACGCACGACCGACCAGCGAGGACUCCGGCGCGACUAGCCCGAGGAUUUUUAUUAAAAACGCAAUGGCCAGAGCUUUGCCUUUUAAUAAUUGAGAAAAGUGUAUCCUCUCAGGAUCCUGAGAGCCUUCUUGAAUCAGCCUUCCCUUGUGUCUUCAACGUGGGGAAGCAACUUAUAUCUAAUUAAGUGUUAUGGGGGGCGUCCAACUAGCUAAAUUACUAAAAAGACGUGUUCACAGAGUUACUUAUUGGCCGAGGAAGACAUUAGUGGAGUCAAAUCUGAAAAAGCAAAAGAUCUGGGUGUCACAUUCUCACCUCAAGAUGGUUUAUUUGGUUUCAUCCCAAAAUCAAAACCUGCAAAGGCUCCUGUAGACAAAUAUCAAAGCAACAACAAUUCUGAUAAACUUCAGCAAUCACAGACAAAUAACUCUCCAGCUAAAGUCGGAAAAACCAUGUGCACUGCCACUCUUCUGAUGAUUCGAUAUUUGGAUAGCUUGCCAUGGAGUCAUGCUCAACAUAACCUAUUACAUAAUUUGGUCAUGAUCAUAGUUGCUUCGAUCUUAUUACCGAAGACAUGAUGAUUGGUGCUAUCUGAGACAACUCAGUACUCGAGCAAGGCAGUUUAUUGCCUAACAGUGCCACUGUAAUACCAAGCUUUGUGUUGCGCGUGGGUCCUGUGUCGGCCCUAGCGGUCGCUGUCCCCGGCCACGGCGAGGCCGUAGCGGGCGUCGUCAAUGCUCGCUGGCGCGGGUGCUCCCUCCCGCAUGGCCUGGUCCAGGGUGCUCUGUUGUUCCUCACGUCGUCCUCUCCUCGGUUUGGUCACUCCCCCUUUCUCUCCCUUUUUACCUCUCCCUGCGGGAUCUCCCUCCCCCAGCUCUCGCGGAGGCUCGCUUCCCUUCGCUAUGGAUGGCAAUUUAUAUGCAGAUAAAUUGUUCGCCUAAGGUCCAUGAAACCCUAGCUAUCUGUCCUCAUCUUCUCGGCAUGGUUUAUGAGGAUAGAAUCAUAUACAUCUCUGGCAAUCUCAGUUGCUCUUGCAUGAUUUUUCACAGGAUGCGAGAUUCGGAGGGGGUGAAUCUUGGUUACUACUACAAUUUUACUUGCCUUCUGUAGGGUGUGGUUUGCUCUGUUCUACUGGAUCUUCAGAGCAGGAAAUUAUUGUGCCAUACAUCUGAGCAUGUGACCAUGUCAUGGUAUUUUUUCCUUGAUUUCUUACGGUGCAUCCCUUGUCAUUUCUGGUCUUGUUUUGGAUCUUAGUCACCUGCAAUGAUGUGUGCACUUUUGUCUUGUUGUUACAUUUUAAUUUGAGGGAAUGGGCUGCUGUUGUGAUGACUACAUCAUAUAUAUAUAUAUAUAUAUAUAUAUAUAUAUAUAUAUAUAUAUAUAUAUAUAUAUAUAUAUAUAUAUAUAUAUAUAUGAUGUUUAGUGUUUGAUGCAAUGAUCAUGGCCUAUCUUUGCAUACUUUAAGUCUCUUCCUUCUAGCAUAACUGAGGCAGUGCUCACGAGCUAUGAUGAAUCUUCCUUUUACAUCUCUGUACUAUGUUCAUAGCUGAGGCAAUGAUCAUGAACAACGUUGAUUCUAUUUUUACCAUCUUUUUGUACCUCUUCCAUGGUAAUUAAGGGAAAUGAUUAUUUGGCCAUUUCUAUUUUCUUCAUUUCUUCGUACUUAUUCUAUUUCGUGUACUUUCAAGGCACCAAUGAGGGGUACUAUCUGUUGAUAUUCAGUCAAAAGACUAUGCUCUUCGAAUUAGCUCUUAAUUAUGAAAUAUUAGCUUCUGAUAACGUUGCAUGCCAUGAUUUCGUCCAUUCUCUGCUUUGAUCAUUGGCUUUUGUUUUCCACUCAUAAUUGUUUAUGAUCAUCGUCUGUGAUGUCAAUAACCACGUAAUUGUGCAGUCUGAACCUGUGUUUACUGCCUGUUAAGUGAUAGAUAUAUGCUUCUUGAUUUCAGCUUGAUUCUGAGCGCAUGUCCUAUUCCCAAAGAUUACAUUGUGAAACGCUUUGCUUGUUUGCGACCACUUUUGGGUUCUCCUUUUUAUUUGACUUUUGAGUACAAUUAUGUGCGCUGCUAAUCUUUGAACUCAAGUGAAAUACAUGCAAUACUGAAAAAGAAAUAUAAUAAAGGUCAUUAUUUUUUUGCUUUGGAAGUUGAUCUGAUCUUAAGUUUAUUUCCAGUCUGGUCUAAUAAAGAGUGGACUGGAAUUGUGUAGGUUUGCUAAGGAAAAGGAAGAAUAUUGGUUGGCAUCAUAUUAGAAUAAGGUUUGAUCUUAGGAGACGGUGAUGUUUUCAGAUCUAACAAAUGCAUGCGUCCACCGAUAUUUGUACAGGUUCCACUGAGCAAUGCUUAAAUCUAAGUAAUUUCUUGUAUUAUAUAUGGUUGUUUCCUUGCCAAUAGAGAAUAAACAACAUUUACCUUGCAUGUUAGUUUCUAUUGAUCAUGGUGUCAACUAAAAUUGGCUAGAUUUAAACAAGUUGUCCUCAUCGCUCAAUCUAACCCCUUUUAUCUGUACAUCAGUCAUUAGUGAAGAAUUCGUUACAAAAAAAACAUCCUUAAUUAUUCUUUAGUUGUAUCUCUUUAGUUUCAGGUUUUAGAAUCACUUAUUCACUAGGCAGGCCCAAAACAAUAUUUCCUGAUACAGUUGGGUCAUAAUCCUUCGAUGAUAGUAUAACACUGUGAAUGCGGUAUGUUGCUUUCAGCUACUUUCUUUAUAAAGUUUAUGUACCUGUUAACUCAGCUUAUUAUUAUACUUGCGGCCCAUAUCUUAAUUGAGUUAUUGGCAUUAUUAAAAAUUGGGGACGUCAAAUGGUAAUGCCUUCGAAUUUGCCACCAUAGCGCUUUCAGAAAUUCUAGAAAUCAGAGGUUGGUUUAAGAAAAUAUUUUGUUUAGUGGCUUGGUUCUAUGGAUGUUGCUAUUCUUCACAUUUUGUGAUCUACAUGUUCACCAAUAAUUUAAAAUUCUAUUUCUGUUGGUUGUCCUCUGAGAUCUAUAGAAUAGGAUGAAAGCAAAUUCAAUUGAGAAGGCUAUUUCUGUAUGUGUCGAUCUUUGGAGGUUUUCUGUUACGAACUCAAAAGUCUCAAGCGUGUAUUUAUGGAUGAAUAUCAUGUCCACAGCACGAUACUACUAUAGACAAUGGUCUACUUCUUUUUACAUCUGAUUCACAUUUAGUAAGAAGGUGAGGCCUUCCUGAUUUUGACAGCGAUCGUGUAGAAAUCAGCAGAAUGCAUGUGCCUACCUAGAGAUCUUUCGUGUGAAUAGAAAUAGCUUCUUCAUAUUCAUAGAUGUAUAUAGUUAUAAUGGGAAAAACCAUUAACUAGAUGCUACAAUUGUGUGAGGCUGUAGCCUACAAAGUUCCUACAAAGUUUUCACCAUACCUCAUUGUCCUUAGAGAUGACAUUUUUUUCCUAUUUUCAUGUGUGUGCCUGCUAUAUUCGGAACCCUGGAGGCUCACAAGUUUGAGAUUAGAUGGCCCACGGAAGUUCAGUGGAUGGAUAGGUGAACCUCCAAAUGGUUAUACUGAACAGUUAAAUAUGAUUCAGUGCUGACAAUUCCUAGCUAUCUAUUGAGGAUAUGGGCAUUGGAAAUUUUGCAAAUUACUGAAUGAAGCUGAAGUACAAACCUUAUUAUUUCCUUAUGGUACUAAAGAUGUGCAAUAGAAAGAGCGAGAAAGGACCACUUUGAGGGCUUUAUACCAGAGGUGUGGCCAUCAUCUUGUUCGUGGCAAAUUGCUACAACAAAUAGUUUUGUGACAAUGUCAGCCUACAUGGAGGGGUGUAUAGAGAAGGCUAUGCUCAACAACAAAACAUGAUUUAGUGUUGGCACUUUCUGGUUAUAUCUUGAGCCUAUGGUCAGUACAAAUUUUGUGAAUUACUAAAUGUGGGUCCUUAUGAUAAGUAUUACUUCCUGACCACAAUAGCCUCAUGGAAGUACUUAGAGGUUACAGCUCAGGCACCAAAAAAGGAAGGCUCUGCUAGCAUCAUAUGUUUGACUAUGUACUUUUACAUUUUUAUACAGAUGUUAAAAGAUUUUUAACACAGAUAAGGUUUUCAUGGUGUAAAACCUCCAUUGUACAGUUGCCUAGCUAUAGUAGGUACCACACAAUUAGUUGUUAAACAUUAUACCAAUGUAAUUUAUCAUCCUGUAAUAAAUGUGUGUGUCGCUAAUCAAAUUCGAAUUCCACUCUUUCAUCCCAAAUUUGUAUUA